AAGAUACAGAAAUCAAAUUUCUGCUAGCAACAGGUAACAGUCCCUAAGUAUCCUGAGCAUAUCUGACAUACCUUCUGAAGGUCUGUCACCCUUCAUGUUCUUUAUGCUUCCCAUAUAUGUAGGACAGUUCCUCUUCCAAUGGAAACACUUUUCCUUGCAAUUGGCCUUUUUCUUGGAACUUCCUUGCUUGGCGUUUUCUCGGUCUUCUGCUUCUUCGCAGGCUUCUUCUUCUUCCAGGUAGACUCUUUAUUGGAAGUAGAAACCAACUCGACAGCAAGAACGAUGCCCCUGGAACUCUUCAAGAUCCCUAAGGUAGUUACCAAUUUAUUUAACAAUUCUAUUUUAGUGCAAACAAUCUUGUUCAUAUGGUAGUUUACUCUAAACUAUUCAUAUGAAGCUGAAAGGGAUUGCGGGAUCAAAUCCGUUUGCAAUUCCUUUUGCAUGGUCAUGCCGAGCUUCUCAAGCUCCUCUAAGUUCUUUAUCAUGG
Molecule: long non-coding RNA, 487 nt
Filed under: Phoenix dactylifera (date palm)
Lineage: Eukaryota; Viridiplantae; Streptophyta; Magnoliopsida; Arecales; Arecaceae
Description: long non-coding RNA (PDAC_LNC013515)
Source: RNAcentral